This is a long non-coding RNA of Sitophilus oryzae (rice weevil), 785 nucleotides long. RefSeq lists it as uncharacterized. The record is from RefSeq and is a predicted model, not a curated record. NCBI's taxonomy places the organism in Eukaryota, Metazoa, Arthropoda, Insecta, Coleoptera, Curculionidae. The transcript is spliced from 2 exons.
GUGAAAUUUUGAUACUAAAAAUAUUAUAAGGUACUGUAGCAGCCUAAAAUAAUUUCUUAUUUUUGCGCUACAUCUCUAGCAGAAUUUAAGCAAAUAAUGCCCAUCCCUAGUCGGUACCGCUGCAAUUUUGGUAGUACCGGGAAUGCCGUUCGAUGUGGUGGCGCAGGGUUGCCAUUUAUAUUAUUAUUUAAAUUUUUCUUUAAAUGUUAUUAAUAACUUUCCUGAAGUUUCCUUAUUUCGAGCACAGUUUGGUGCGUAUUUACUUUUUGUCGUCAGAAGAUAAUCUCUGGCAGAAUUUUAACAUUUUAUUCGGAUUUUUCGACACUUUCACCAUUUCAACCACUGGUGAAGUCCCAGGGUGGUUCUCGUCUUCUUUGAAAAGUUUUUUUGGUACAUCGUAUGUGGCGGAGAAUAGCCCUGCGAAUGUGUCCCUUACCAACUUAAGGGGAAGAUUUGACAUUUUGGGAGUUUUUUGGAGUAAUUUUUUGGAGUAGAUUUUGGGAGCAACUUUCGUUUUGAAAACGAGAAGUUUUUUGAGAACUUUUUGGACGAGUUUUUUUAAGAAGAUUUAGCAGUAGUUUUUUUUGAUCCGAUGUUUUGAGCAGUUUUUGGUUUUUAUGAAUGGUUCCGUGAAGGUUCCCUGUUGGAGGCUGGUGUGAAAUUGACGAGUUUUCCCUUUUUCCGCAAAUUUACAAGUUUUCUGAUGGUUUGAAGCAGUUACGUAAUGGAUAUGGGCCCCAGUACGACACCAAAUCAACACUGAUUGACUACAGCUUCAGAGCAAA